UACAUUCAUGCAAGAGCUAACGUUUCCCAGCCAGCUUGAGCUAUUGCGCGACCGCCGGCCGGCGCAUACCGUAUUUCUCAAAAAUAUCAGCGGUUUGCCGGCACAAAGGUCGCGACUUGCAUAAUCGUGUCCACGCCCGCCGUAUAACCUAAGCUGCCCCGCACUGUCGUCUACAUCGCAAUUAUGAUUACCUAUACAAAAAUAUUAUUUUAUACGUAUUUCCA
Molecule: non-coding RNA, 224 nt
Organism: Cinara cedri
Lineage: Eukaryota; Metazoa; Arthropoda; Insecta; Hemiptera; Aphididae
Source: the annotation of a GenBank genome assembly